RNAcentral lists this ribosomal RNA (343 nucleotides) under uncultured bacterium. Its description in RNAcentral is "bacterial SSU rRNA". It matches the Rfam family "Bacterial small subunit ribosomal RNA", at positions 548 to 873 of the family's 1533-position model. The record is from RNAcentral.
AGAGGUGCNNNNAUUACUCGAUUUAUUGGGUGUAAAGGGCAAGUAGGCGUCUUGACAAGUUAGGAGAGAAAUCCUGCAGCUCAACUGCAGAACUGCUUUUAAAACUGUUAAGAUUGAGACUGGGAGAGGAGAGUGGAAUUCUCGGUGUAAGAGUGAAAUCUGUAGAUAUCGAGAGGAACACCAGUGGCGAAGGCGGCUCUCUGGUCCAGUUCUGACGCUGAAUUGCGAAAGCUAGGGGAGCAAACAGGAUUAGAUACCCUGGUAGUCCUAGCCGUAAACUAUGAGMACUAGGUGUUGGGGGUUUACCUUCAGCGCCGCAAGUUAACACGUUAAGUGCUCCACC